Molecule: long non-coding RNA, 952 nt
Organism: Schistocerca nitens (vagrant locust)
Lineage: Eukaryota; Metazoa; Arthropoda; Insecta; Orthoptera; Acrididae
Exons: 6
Source: RefSeq, a predicted model, not a curated record
GAUAACUUGUCGUAUUUGUGGAUAUCGUGUUAAUACUUGCGUAUCCCAAAAAUAUGCAGUUUCAAUGAUAUAGCUAUUGAAGAUCUCGCCGAAACGCGUCGUUUGCUGUACAGAUUUGUGGUACUACAGUGGCAUAAAGUCCGAUAACGGCAUAUAAAAAUGUUAUUUAGGUAGUAACGCUCAUUUUUCAGUUUUUUUAGGGUCUUUCCGAUUUACAUGUGUGAUGUGUGUCACUGUAACAGCGUUCUUGUGUUUAUUGGAGGAGUGUCUGCUGCAGUGGGAGAUGCCUGAUGGCCACUAUAGUGUGCAGGACCCAUUAGGCAUCGAUAAAGAGGAAUGUUCACCUCCAGAAGACUUUCUUGCACAUUCAGUAUUGAGAAGACUGAGGACAAGGGAGAUAAGGAGGCUAUGAACGAGGACCACUUUGAGAUGAGUCACGUUCCACAUGGUCUGUGUGUACCACUAGUGUACUGCUGACAGUGGGGUAAAACAGACAAAGUUCAAGGACUUGAAACAUGAAGUGGAGUCAGCAAGUAGCGGCAUUGAACCAGAAAGGAACAAGGUCUACAGCGACAGUCCUGUGGCUCAAGUAAAUUUCUGACUUUUAUUAAAAGAUAAAACGAUACAUUCCACUCAAGCAUCUCACUCAUUAUAGAGGGAUGCUGACUCAGUUUUACAGGACAACAAAUGGGAAGAUGCAGUACAGAAAAUGGUCCAGAGAUCACCAGAGUGUCUGAGAUAUGAGUGAACAGCGUGGCAUUACAUUAUUUGUAAAAGAGGUAUUGUAUACCAGGAGUAAAUCUAAUGACUGUCUCUAACUAGAAGUUUGUAAAUGUAUGUGUAUAUGAAUUAGCUUAUUUUAAAUUGAUCUGAACUUGUAAAUACUUUGCCAUGUCCUAUAUCCUUGUAAAAAGAGUUCUACAAAGGAAUAAAGCUACUACUACUACUACUA